Molecule: long non-coding RNA, 415 nt
Filed under: Chloebia gouldiae (Gouldian finch)
Lineage: Eukaryota; Metazoa; Chordata; Aves; Passeriformes; Passeridae
Description: Erythrura gouldiae (Gouldian finch) lncRNA (ENSEGOG00005015214.1)
Source: RNAcentral
GCAGGAUGAUCCAAGCUGGCCAGAGCAGGAGUUAGUGCUUUCUCUCUCUCUCCUAGCUAAAAUCUAUCCUGAAACACUUCUGAUACCAAAAUGCACCAAGUUAAGCACAAAAGCAAACAUUUCUGGUGAUGUGGCUGACUUUUGGCAGGACAAAGACAAACCUUGGCAUAUGGAUGGGCAUGGAAACUGUGCUAAUAGUGCACAGAUCAAAUCAAAGUGUCAAAACAACAUCCCCGGCACUCCAGCGGCAGCUCCUGCCCACCAGACGGACAUGUGAGGAGCAGGUAUUUUUAGCUGAAAAGAAUAACCACCAAGGGUCAUGUAGUGAAGAAAAUAAGACAAUGACAGAUGCUGUCUGAGGAUCCCCACUGGUACAAGGUCCUCUCUGAGGUGCAGUUACAGCUCUUUACACCUA